This 49-nucleotide non-coding RNA is filed under the name unclassified sequences. RNAcentral describes it as "DUF3800-XI RNA". It matches the Rfam family "DUF3800-XI RNA". From Rfam's summary of the family: Actinobacteria, Firmicutes, Proteobacteria, Spirochaetes (1 example). Nearby to DUF3800 The record is from Rfam by way of RNAcentral.
CGGGCUGGUCGUAUGACCAUGGUCCACCGAAACGGCGUGGGGACCCCGC